This 460-nucleotide ribosomal RNA is filed under the name uncultured bacterium. RNAcentral's name for it is "partial 16S ribosomal RNA". It matches the Rfam family "Bacterial small subunit ribosomal RNA", at positions 338 to 795 of the family's 1533-position model. The record is from RNAcentral.
CCUACGGGAGGCUGCAGUGAGGAAUAUUGGUCAAUGGACGAGAGUCUGAACCAGCCAAGUAGCGUGAAGGAUGACUGCCCUAUGGGUUGUAAACUUCUUUUAUAAAGGAAUAAAACGAGGCACGUGUGCCUUUUUGCAUGUACUUUAUGAAUAAGGAUCGGCUAACUCCGUGCCAGCAGCCGCGGUAAUACGGAGGAUCCGAGCGUUAUCCGGAUUUAUUGGGUUUAAAGGGAGCGUAGAUGGGUUGUUAAGUCAGGUGUGAAAGUUUGCGGCUCAACCGUAAAAUUGCAAUUGAUACUGGCAGUCGUGAGUACAGUUGAGGUAAGCGGAAUUCGUGGUGUAGCGGUGAAAUGCUUAGAUAUCACGAAGAACCCCGAUUGCGAAGGCAGCUUACUAAACUGUGACUGACAUUGAUGCUCGAAAGUGUGGGUAUCAAACAGGAUUAGAUACCCCGGUAGUC